UUCACGGCCACAUGGAUUACUACACCAUAGCGUGGUAGGGUUCAUGGCCACAUGGACUACUACACUAUAGCGUGGUAGGGUUCACGGCCACAUGGACUACUGCACCAUAGCGUGGUGGGUUCACGGCCAUGUGGACUACUACACUAGAGCGUGGUGGGGUUCAUGGCCACGUGGACAGCUACCCUUUAGCAUGGUGACAUUAACUUGUGCUGUUCUAACUCCCGUAACGUUCAUCAGAGUUUCACUGUGUGUCCAGAGCAGAAAUUCCUUGUUUGAUUUGCUUUAUUUUGCUGUUAUUUGAUAACUUCAUUAACAUAGCUUUAAAAAUUAAUCUUUACAUGCUUUUUCUGCAUAACAUUUUAACAUUUAAAUUAAAAUGAUUUUUAAAAAAGAUUUAUUUACUCAUUUGAAAGAGUUACACAUAGAGAGAAGGCAGAGAGAGAGAGAGAGGUCUUCCAUCCGCUGGUUCACUCUGCAGUUGGCUGCAAUGGCUGGAGCUGGGCUGAUCCAAAGCCAGGAGCCAGGACCUUCUUCUGGGUCUCCCACAUGGGUGCAGGGGCCCAGGGAGUUAGGCCAUCUUCCACUGCUUCCCCAGGCCACAGCAGAGAGCUGGGUUGGAAGUGGAGCAGCUGGGACUUGAACUGGCGCGCAUAGGGGAUGCCAGCACUGCAGGUGGUGGGUUUACCUACUAUGCCACAGUGCUGGCCCCAAAGUGCUUUCUUAAUCUAACUGUUUGGAGUUUAUAAAGCAAUGUGGAUGAGUACAUGGAGAAAUCAUUUUUGAGUUUUCAUCCAGCUCUGCUUUGUUCUCUAAGCAAAUCCUCCACAGUGCAGACGUGUGAAGUGCUGGCCUGUGUCUCACCGGUGGCGUGGCUUGGUGUGUGGCAUGACGCUGCUAAGACUCCGGUGAUCGGCGGUUACGUGUCACUGGCUGCUGCUUCUGGGACUCUCAAUCCUCCAGAAGGUCUGGGGCUCUCAGUCCUCCGGAAGGUCUGGGGCUCUCAGUCCUCCGGAAGGUCUGGGGCUCCCAGUCCUCCGGAAGGUCUGGGGCUCUCAGUCCUCCGGAAGGUCUGGGGCUCUCAGUCCUCCGGAAGGUCUGGGGCUCUCAGUCCUCCGGAAGGUCUGGGGCUCCCAGUCCUCCGGAAGGUCUGGGGCUCUCAGUCCUCCGGAAGGUCUGGGGCUCUCAGUCCUCCGGAAGGUCUGGGGCUCUCAGUCCUCCGGAAGGUCUGGGGCUCCCAGUCCUCCGGAAGGUCUGGGGCUCUCAGUCCUCCGGAAGGUCUGGGGCUCUCAGUCCUCCGGAAGGUCUGGGGCUCUCAGUCCUCCGGAAGGUCUGGGGCUCUCAGUCCUCCGGAAGGUCUGGGGCUCUGGAGCUGCUUUCAUGGAGGAAAUACAGUUGAUUUUGACUCGAGGGAAAGGUCACUUUUUCUUGUGGGCUCAGCUGGCUUCAUGUCUGAUUUUUUUAUAUAGUUGAUUAUUUUUUAAAGAUUUAUUUAUUUAUUUGAAAGUCAGAGCCACAUAGAAAGAGGAGAGGCAGAGAGCGAGAGAGAGAGGUCUCCAUCUGCUGGUUCACUCCCCAGAUGGCCACAACAGAUGGGGCUGCGCUGACCUGAAGCCAGGAGCUUCCUCCAGGUCUCCCACGCGGGUGCAGGGCCCAAGGACCUGGGCCCUCUUCCACUGCUUUCCCAGGCCACAGCAGAGAGCUGGAUCGGAAGUGGAGCGGCCGGGACUCUAGCCGGCACCUGUUUGGGAUGCUGCUGUCACACGUGGCGGCUUAACCUGCUGUGUUACAGUGCGAGUGCCGGUAGUAAUUCUCUAGACAUGCGGGAGCAGUCUGUAGAUGCCACGUGCCAGUGUGAGAGCAGCGUCCGCUCCACCUUUGCAGAGCAUGCAUCGCGUCUGUGUCGCUUGGUGGAGUUCUUUGCUGGAAUCACUGAUUCUCUGAGUCUGCAGAUGCCCGCAGGAGCUCAGGGCUGUGCGGAGGUUGCAGCCAGGAGCUGGGAACUCAGGCUGGGCCUCUGGCAGGACCCAGCUACUGAGCGGUCUCUGCUGCCUCCCAGGGCCACGUCAGGGGGCAGAGCCAGAUGUUAAAGCCAGGUGUCGUUAUGGGAUGUUGACGUCUUGAUGGGGCCUUAACCACUGGGCUGAGCGCUCAUCCUUUUGCAGAGGCCAGAAGGAAAUAUGAUACCAGCUGGGGGUGGGCAGGUCCCAUGUGCGUGCCAGGCCCUGCCCCUGUGGCCACAGUGUUGUCCUGCACUGGAUCAUCGCAUUUCGUGAUUCAGUUUGCAGCGCUGGCUGUGGUUCCUGAGUGGGUUUCUUCCGCUGAGCGUGGUUGCCAGUUGCUGCCACUGGGCCUGGUGUCUGAGCCUUCUUCUAGAAUUGCAAAGGGAAAGCCAUGUGGGCCCUGUUGAGCUGCCCGCUCGGGCCCCGCUUCCCAGGACCCGACUGGCACUGGUUCAUCAAGGUUGGCCUAGGAGAACUUGCGAGUUUUGUUGUUACGCUUCUGCUGUUUUGGACAGAUUGAUGAGUUUAAUGUGGAGCUUACGCGUUCCUCCCUGCACGCUGUGUUGCGUUGCUCUCUCUGUGAUAUGUGGUUGUUUGACAGUUCCAGGUUUUUCUGGAACGUUAGCCCCUAUCUUUGGUUUGGCUUCUUUUCUCUCAUUCCAUUUUUGUUUUACUGUUUAAGCUCUUUUAUUAUUAAAAACUACAGAAACGUAGAAAGACUAGUAAAUUAACGCCCUGUAGGCCUAGCGUUCUGGCGCAUCCACCUCAUUGCAGGAACCGUUUCAGAGUUGUCAGGCACGCCCUGGCACCGUGUCUCUGUGCGGCAGCAGGCAGCUCAGGGGCGGAGACUCCGCAGAGCCACACAGGCAAGGAAGCGCCUGAGGCCAGGCUGUGUUACGUUGUGCAGUUUUGUGGUUUUGAAACCACUGGUUAUUGGAUCCCGUUUAAACUUGGGUCUGUUCACCAGCUCAGCGCAGCUGCCAUUUGCCUGGAGCCUGGAGGGUGACGUGUGCUGGUGCCAGGAGGAACGAUGGGUGGAGAAGGACUGGUUUUAUACGUGCGUCUUAUCCUACGCUGGCGACUGUGGCCCAGGGCUGUGCGGCUUGGGAGGUGGGGCGCUGGGUGGAACUUGGGAAGUCUUGUCACUGUGCCCACGCCCUCCCCUGCGAGGGUCGUUGGUUACCAGGGAGUCCAGACAGCUGAUGAGGCGGACGGUGUGACUUUCUUCUGCCAGUUUAUAGCCAUUUCAAAACAAAUAGGUACGUUAUUUUCUCAGAGCUGCUAGUUGACGAGCUAACUAAUCUACCCACUAUGAUUCAGAGUUGAUGAUGGUGUUAUUAGCGAGUAAUAGCGAGACAUCCUUUCCGUGUGCGUGGACUUGGGGUUUAGUAAGACUGACUUAAGAGUACUGCUAGAACUUUGAAAAGACGCAGUUGUCUUCAAAGGCCAUCGACUCCGUGAAGUACGGAAAGGAGAGGAUGCGUGUGGGUUUACUGGUGGUCGUGCCGGGCUUUGUAGAACCUAGGAAAUAUUUGACCCUUCCAAAUUAAAUAUUACAACGUGAGGUUAUUAGGGUGUUUUCUUCUAAAAUUAAUAAUCCUCAACUGCUAAGAUUAUAUUCACUUUUAGGGUUUUUUAAACUUAAUAUUUUAUGUUUAUUUUUUGGUUACCCUCUACAAAAUAUAAAUAGUGAGCUUUAUGAAUCAGAUAUUUCAUGGUUGUAAAAAUCUUCCUUACAGCAUUAUGCAUUGUCUGCUUUAUAUAGCUCUGUUACCUAAAUAGUUACUUGAUGGUUAUGACAGGUUGACUCUGAUGUAAAUGUUCUGAAUAGUUUUAAGAAAUGAGAGGUUGCGUUUCAGAGAGGGGACCGUCCCCCCUUGUGUUCAUCUGGUUUCUUCUCAGAGUGGGGCUGUGGGCUUCCAGCCCCGGGUCCUGCCGUGUCCUCCAGCGCCUCGUCUCCCUUUUUAUUUUUAACAGGGAUCAUUGAUCUUUCAGGUGUUUGGUAAGGAAGGUCAUUUACUCCUUCUGCGUUGGGUAGGGAAAGUGGCGCGUCUCCCGGGUGCUUGGUUGUCUCUGUUCUCAGCGGUCAGCAGAUCAGUGUGCAGUGGGCAGGUGUCCGGGCUGAUGCACCGUGGCCACGAUGCUUUUGUUUCCCUCCUGCUGUUCUGAGUGGCCACCACGCGCAGCUGCUGGACGCUGGCUGGAGGUUGGCUGUAGGAGUGGGAAGUGGGGCCAUCUGCGUCUCCCCGGGCUGGGGGGUCCUGGCCCUUCUCCCGUUCAAGGUGUCCUUGCCUUCUCACCCAAACCCAGAGCCACAUGUGGGGGAAGAACCUUCCAGAUGCAUAAUUUGGUCAGCCCUUUGGAAACUUGCAGUGUGGGAGACACAGUCAGAGUGCCCUGUGUUAGCCGUUCAUCGCCGCCCUCAGUGUACAGUCUCAGCGAGCAAUUUUAAACUGUUUUAUGUCAGGAACAAAAGAAGCCAAUACUAACUCAACUAGUA
Oryctolagus cuniculus (rabbit) is the source of this 4500-nucleotide non-coding RNA. The record is from RefSeq and is a predicted model, not a curated record. Lineage: Eukaryota; Metazoa; Chordata; Mammalia; Lagomorpha; Leporidae.